Molecule: long non-coding RNA, 1409 nt
Organism: Pseudopipra pipra
Lineage: Eukaryota; Metazoa; Chordata; Aves; Passeriformes; Pipridae
Exons: 3
Source: RefSeq, a predicted model, not a curated record
CAGAGGGCCAGGGAGACAAGUCCACCCCCUCGAGCAACAGGUCUUCCAAAUCUGCUGUCCCGUAGGUCACUCUUCCAUGGGCUACAGGGGGACAGCCUGUUCCACCAUGGUCCUCACCACGGGUUACAGGGAGGGGCACAACCCUGAGUCCUUCCCCUGCUCAUGGGGUCCCUCCCACAAGUAACAGUCCUUCACAGACCUCUCCAACAUGGGUCCAUCCCUCAGGCAGUAGUUCUUCCAUAUCUACUGUCCCGAGAGUCACUUCUCCAUCCUUCAUAGGAUGCAGUCCUUCAUAGGGAUCUAAAGGAAUCCAACCACUUACUUGGAAACUUGCACCCCUGGAAAACUCUUGAUGUUAAAAGAGCUUUACAAUCUACAGGUGAAAUGAUCACAGCUCUCAGAAACUCAUCCCUCAACCUUUUUACUCUCGUCCUUUGUGACCUACCAGCAUCCAGCAUCUGAAGAGGUCCUUCACUUAACACCUCUUUUUCACAACAGGAAUAGAUAUAAGUUUCUCAGAGAUGGAUGUUCCAGCUCUGUUAGUCACUGGGCUGCUUCUAUACUUGAACAUUGAGAACCAUCUCUAGAAAAUGUUUUUCUUUCACUCUAUUAAUGAUACAAGAUGUCCAGAUGAUUCCUGUAGGAAUGACUGUGCUGGGUUGGACCAAUGACUCAUCAACUCAAGUGAUCAACAUGGACUUCUAGGAAAACAGUGCAAGAACAAGCAAGCAUAUUGAGAGCUAUGUCUGUUGAAUAUUCUCCUGGACCCUCAUAUGUUGUGACUCAGGGACCUCUUCAGUCAGAGGAAGAUUCUGUGAUUAAUAGUUUUCAAAGGAUGUUUCUCCAUGAAGUUGUUUGAAACAUCCACAGCCAGCUAGAUAAUGAAUCUGUAGAUGGCUAAAGUUAGAAAGAAGCAGCUCAGUCUCUAGACCCUGUACUUUAUUGCUGUUCUACAGCAAUUUUUUAUUUUUACUCCUCAUGGCAUUGUAUUGUCCCCUUUCUUUCCGCAGGAAAAGAAAGUCAUGAUGUCACAGUAACUGUCAGCCUGAACACUAUUCAGAAGGUGGGGUAUAUCCCUGCGGCAGGCUAAAUCAAGUGGUCAAGGAAAGCAGUGUAAGUGAAGAUCAUAUCCCAGAGAAGCUGUGGAUGCCCCAUGUGUGGAAGUGUUCAAGGCCAGGUUGGAUGGGGCUUUGAACAACCUGUUCUAGUGGAAGAUUAAAGGCUGGAGGAGGAAUUGAGGGAUAAGAGGAAUGAAAACAAGAUGCAGUUCCUUUCUACUCAACAAAUAGCCAUACUCUCUAGAAUUGGCUUGGAGCCAGGACUUUGUUUCAAGUGCACCUCUGAACUUGGCCCACCACACUUCCCAGGAGGUUAAUUGCAUUAAACUACUCCUAAUAUUUUAUUGAAAA